CGUGCCUACGGGGGGCAGCAGUGGGGAAUAUUGGGCAAUGGGCGCAAGCCUACCCAGCAAUACCGCGUGAGUGAAGAAGGUCUUCGGAUUGUAAAGCUCUUUGAUCAGGGACGAACAGAUGACGGUACCUGAAGAACAAGCCCCGGCUAACUACGUGCCAGCAGCCGCGGUAAAACGUAGGGGGCGAGCGUUGUCCGGAUUUACUGGGUGUAAAGGGAGCGUAGACGGCCAGACAAGUCUGAAGUGAAAAUCCAGCGCUUAACGUUGGAAGUGCUUUGGAAACUGCCGGGCUGGAGUGCAGGAGG
This 305-nucleotide ribosomal RNA is filed under the name uncultured bacterium. Its description in RNAcentral is "bacterial SSU rRNA". It matches the Rfam family "Bacterial small subunit ribosomal RNA", at positions 334 to 655 of the family's 1533-position model. The record is from RNAcentral.